RNAcentral lists this unclassified non-coding RNA (400 nucleotides) under Hevea brasiliensis (rubber tree). Lineage: Eukaryota; Viridiplantae; Streptophyta; Magnoliopsida; Malpighiales; Euphorbiaceae. The record is from RNAcentral.
AAUUUCAUUGAUGGGCUAUGGUCAGUUUGUGGAGGAGAAAGGCUAAUCGUCUUCACAACAAAUUUUGUGGAGAAACUUGACCCAGCUCUUAUCAGGAAAGGAAGGAUGGACAAGCACAUAGAGUUGUCCUAUUGCAGCUUUGAAGCGUUCAAGGUGUUGGCUAACAAUUACCUUCAGCUUGAAUCACAUCAGCUUUUUGCUAAAAUUAGUGACUUGUUGGGGGAAGCAAAAAUGACUCCUGCGGAUGUCGCUGAGCAUUUGAUGCCAAAGAUUGUUCCUGGAAAUGCUCAAGUCUGCUUGGAGAGUCUCAUUGGAGCCCUUGAAACGACAAAAGAGAAAGCGAAGUUGAAAGCCGAGGAAGAAGCACGAGAGAAGGAAGCAUCGUCAGCCAAAGAGGAAG